CCUAGCUUCAUGACAAUGGCACGUGGGAGAACUGGGGAUUUCAACAGUUGCGUGGUCCCAGAAUGACAGAGUUGGCAAACCAGGUUUGACCCCUGAGACUACACACCUAACGGCUUGGCUAGAACCGUUUUAAAGGCUCAACCACUCAGUGAGGAAACUCAAUAAUUCUGACCCUAACAGAGCAAGAGGCCUGACCUUCACACCUAUGUAACCCAAGGUCACAGAAAUGCUGAGGGGCCAUGUGACUCCAGUGAAGCAGGAGUAUCCAUCCAGCCACAGAGAUGGGACCUGUCCAAAUGGGACCUGUCUGUUCCAAAGGUUAUUCUGCUUGAAAAUCAGGCCAGGCAUGGUGGCUCACAACUGUAAUCCCAGCACUAUAGGAGGCCAAGGCAGAUGGAUGGCUUGAGCCUAGGAGUUUGAGACCAGCCUGGGCAGAAUAGUGAGACCCUAUUUCUACAAAAAAUACAGAAAAAUCAGCCAGGCUUGGUGGCAUGCUCCUGUAGUCCGAGCUACUCGGAAAGCUGAGGUGGGAGAGUCACUUCAGCCUGGGAGAUCAAGACUGCAGUGAGCAGUGAUGAAACUACUGCACUCCAGCCUGGGUUUCAGAGCAAGUCCCUGUCUCAGAAAGAAAAAAAAAAGAAAAAAGAAAACAAGUCAGUAUUUUCCCCCCAAAGAAAGGCUCAUGGGAAUCUUACAAAAUGAGGUUUUAGGAACCAAAAUUACUUCAUGUAGUACUCUCUAGUAAAGGCAGAGGAUGCAAAUGUUGCAGUGGGUCUCUGGUCAGCCGCCAUGAGUCUCUUGGAUCUAACACUUGCUCUCUUCAGACUUCAGUUUCCUCAUAAGGUGAGAACAAGGCUGUAUCUCAGUGCUCUGGGCCUGCUCACACAUCCUGCUCAUAUGAAUGUGAGAGCCACACCAGCCCUCUGGGAAGUAGUCCCUCAAACAGCAGCCCAGUGCAGGGGGAAGGAUGCAAACACUACAGGCAGAUCAGUUUAAUCCACUUUUGGGCAGGGUGACCUUAGGAAAGCCCAUUUCCUUCUGCCUCAAUUGUCACCUCUGUAAAAUGGAAACAAUAAUAUUUAUUUCCGUGGCUGUUUGGAGGAUUACAUAAAAUAACAAAUACAGUGGCAUUCCAUUUUUCUGAGGCAAUUAUGUUCUAUAAAGUCACUGCAAACACUGAAUUACUGGAAUAGUGAGCCAUUGCUCUUACUGGAAAUACAGGAUUAGGUUCCUGAAAAAUCUCUGGUCACAACAUCUUUGUCAACUGAUCAAUACAUAACCAUGAUGUAUGUGUGUUUCUUUUUAAAGGUACCUUAUUUAAUAUCAUUGUUGAUUCAUUAAUAUUAAACUCAU
Molecule: long non-coding RNA, 1353 nt
Filed under: Homo sapiens (human)
Lineage: Eukaryota; Metazoa; Chordata; Mammalia; Primates; Hominidae
Description: HSALNT0153739
Source: RNAcentral